UCCUUCUCUCCACCCCCCGGGGUGUGGCAUUGGAGCCCAAGUCGGUGUCGAACCAACUGGCUCUCAAAAAUAAUGACGGCGUCCGUGGGACCCUCGAUACACCGAGCCCUUUCGAGAGCACGUGUCGAGUUGCAAGGACCCUCCGGGCCGGUCUGAACCCAAUCUAUUUUCUCA
This 174-nucleotide unclassified non-coding RNA is filed under the name uncultured Chaetothyriales. RNAcentral describes it as "sequence contains ITS2". The record is from RNAcentral. Lineage: Eukaryota; Fungi; Ascomycota; Eurotiomycetes; Chaetothyriales.